CAAAAAUACCAUCUAAAAGUACCAUCACAUGAGGGAUGAAGACUUCCCAGUUAAUAAACUGAAUAUUUGUGCCCUCUCCCAAAUUCAUAUGCUGCUCUGACGGCCUGGAGUGGCGUCCCCUUUACCCAAAAAGAGCUGGACAACAGAAGGGGUCCUUGGCUUACAAAUGAAUUCCCUUCCAGAAGAACUUUUAAGUCCCCUCCACAUCACUGGUGCUUUUCCUCUUUCUUCCACAUAUCCUGGGCUCUGAUUGAACGCUAUUCUACUGUACAUGACUCGGUUGCCCUGUACAGUAAGCGCACAGCAACGCAACAGUGACAAUGUCCAGAACACAUGUGAGCUACUUCUGUAAUUCAUGCAUAUCUAUGAAUGGAGGUCUG
RNAcentral lists this long non-coding RNA (380 nucleotides) under Fukomys damarensis (Damara mole-rat). Its description in RNAcentral is "lncRNA (ENSFDAG00000022155.1)". Lineage: Eukaryota; Metazoa; Chordata; Mammalia; Rodentia; Bathyergidae. The record is from RNAcentral.